ACAAAUGCGAUGACGAGAAGAGUAGCCGGCAGAAUCCUUCGCCAGAGAGCCCCGGGAGCUGAAAAGGGGCAGGGAGGCUUUCGGUGAACCAAGACUCUGAGCUGCAUACCGGAACCUCGGCGGGGAUGGUAUGACGGGAGCUCCUGUUAUAGAGCUAGGGUAUGGGCCCCUUAGGCAGUACCCGAAAAGGCCGGUAUGGCAACAUAUCGGUGAACUGGGGUGGCACCGCGAUCAAAUCUCGCCCCCAAG
This 249-nucleotide non-coding RNA is filed under the name [Bacillus] enclensis. RNAcentral describes it as "Bacillus enclensis T-box sequence". It matches the Rfam family "T-box leader". Rfam says of the family: Uncharged tRNA acts as the effector for transcription antitermination of genes in the T-box leader family. T-boxes are found upstream of many aminoacyl-tRNA synthetase genes and some amino acid biosynthetic genes usually in Gram-positive bacteria. The record is from RNAcentral. Lineage: Bacteria; Bacillati; Bacillota; Bacilli; Caryophanales; Bacillaceae.